Molecule: ribosomal RNA, 491 nt
Filed under: uncultured bacterium
Lineage: Bacteria
Description: partial 16S ribosomal RNA
Rfam family: Bacterial small subunit ribosomal RNA
Source: RNAcentral
AGUGAACGCUGGCGGUAGGCCUAACACAUGCAAGUCGAACGGCAGCACAGUAAGAGCUUGCUCUUACGGGUGGCGAGUGGCGGACGGGUGAGGAAUACAUCGGAAUCUACUUUUUCGUGGGGGAUAACGUAGGGAAACUUACGCUAAUACCGCAUACGACCUACGGGUGAAAGCAGUGGAUCUUCGGACCUUGCGCGAUUGAAUGAGCCGAUGUCGGAUUAGCUAGUUGGCGGGGUAAAGGCCCACCAAGGCGACGAUCCGUAGCUGGUCUGAGAGGAUGAUCAGCCACACUGGAACUGAGACACGGUCCAGACUCCUACGGGAGGCAGCAGUGGGGAAUAUUGGACAAUGGGCGAAAGCCUGAUCCAGCCAUACCGCGUGGGUGAAGAAGGCCUUCGGGUUGUAAAGCCCUUUUGUUGGGAAAGAAAAGAAGCAGGUUAAAACCCCGCUGUUCUGACGGUACCCAAAGAAUAAGCACCGGCUAACUUCGU